This 389-nucleotide ribosomal RNA is filed under the name uncultured bacterium. RNAcentral's name for it is "bacterial SSU rRNA". It matches the Rfam family "Bacterial small subunit ribosomal RNA", at positions 28 to 404 of the family's 1533-position model. The record is from RNAcentral.
GACGAACGCUGGCGGCGUGCUUAACACAUGCAAGUCGAGCGAGAGCCAGUCGAGGGGUAACCCUCGGCUGGGGACAGCGGCGAACGGGUGCGUAACACGUGGGCAACCUGCCCCUGACACUGGGAUAACCCCCGGGGAAACCGGAGCUAAUACCGGAUACUCUCGGCCGAUCACAUGGCUGGCCGAGGAAAGGUCCGCCGGUCAGGGAUGGGCCCGCGGCCUAUCAGCUUGUUGGUGGGGNGAUGGCCUACCAAGGCGACGACGGGUAGCCGGCCUGAGAGGGCGACCGGCCACACUGGGACUGAGACACGGCCCAGACUCCUACGGGAGGCAGCAGGUGGGGAAUCUUGCGCAAUGGGACGAAAGCCUGACGCAGCGACGCCGCGUGA